GUACUGAUGAAGAGUCCCAUACUAGGACAAAACAGAUGUCUAGUAC
This 46-nucleotide non-coding RNA is filed under the name Trichobilharzia regenti. Lineage: Eukaryota; Metazoa; Platyhelminthes; Trematoda; Strigeidida; Schistosomatidae. The record is from RNAcentral.